UACAGAGACCUCAAGCGUUAUCCGGAUUUAUUGGGCGUAAAGCGUCCGCAGGUGGUUUUGUAAGUCAGAGGUCAAAACUCACAGCUUAACUGUGAGGCCGCCUUUGAUACUGCAUUACUUGAGGGUGGAAGAGGUGAGCGGAAUUCUCGGUGUAGUCGUAAUAAGCGUUGAUAUCGAGAAGAACACCAAAUGCGAAGGCAGCUCACUGGUACAUCCCUGACACUCAUGGACGAAAGCGUGGGGAG
RNAcentral lists this ribosomal RNA (245 nucleotides) under uncultured bacterium. RNAcentral describes it as "partial 16S ribosomal RNA". It matches the Rfam family "Bacterial small subunit ribosomal RNA", at positions 524 to 768 of the family's 1533-position model. The record is from RNAcentral.